This 71-nucleotide transfer RNA is filed under the name Ictidomys tridecemlineatus (thirteen-lined ground squirrel). RNAcentral's name for it is "Spermophilus tridecemlineatus (thirteen-lined ground squirrel) tRNA". It matches the Rfam family "tRNA". From Rfam's summary of the family: Transfer RNA (tRNA) molecules are approximately 80 nucleotides in length. Their secondary structure includes four short double-helical elements and three loops (D, anti-codon, and T loops). The record is from Rfam by way of RNAcentral. Lineage: Eukaryota; Metazoa; Chordata; Mammalia; Rodentia; Sciuridae.
CUCUGUGUAGCUCAGUGGUAAAGUAUGUGCUUAGCAUGCACAAGGCACUGGGUUCAAUCCCGGCACCAAAA